This 287-nucleotide long non-coding RNA is filed under the name Carica papaya (papaya). Its description in RNAcentral is "long non-coding RNA (CPAP_LNC016144)". The record is from RNAcentral. Lineage: Eukaryota; Viridiplantae; Streptophyta; Magnoliopsida; Brassicales; Caricaceae.
AGGGAAAAGAAGGACAUGAAGGGAAAAGGGGGAAACCUAAAGAGUAAGCGUGGAAAAAUUUAAAUGGGCAACCUACAAAUAAGAGAAAAAGAGGGAAAGAAAGAAGAAUGGAUCUAGAGAAGAGAGACAAGAGCUAAAGAGAAAAAGCUUUGAGAAGUUUGUAAAAACUUGUAGAAGCAAAAUUGCAUGCUGCUAGAGAAGAAGUAGAAACAUAGUGAGCUGAGCAGAAAGGCAAAACCAAAAAGUAAAAACGAACGUUAAGCCAAAUAGAAGGCAAAAAAGCUAAA